Molecule: long non-coding RNA, 451 nt
Organism: Danio aesculapii
Lineage: Eukaryota; Metazoa; Chordata; Actinopteri; Cypriniformes; Danionidae
Exons: 4
Source: RefSeq, a predicted model, not a curated record
GGGGCCGACUAGCUCACAUCUCUUUUCUUCUCUCCCAUCUUCAACACACUUUCAAGUAAGAUGCUUACACUGCUUUGUAUUGUCCUACUCACGUCACAUGUCUUUUCUGCCGACCAAUCGUUGAAGUGCAACGAAAGAACCGAGUAUGCUGAAAACCAGCAGUGCUGCAAAAAAUGUAAACCAGGACAGUUCAUGUUUGAGAAAUGUGGAAUAAGCUCGCGAGAUACCCAAUGCAAGCCGUGUGGAAAUGGCUACUUCACGAAUGAAUAUAAUAUAAAAAAUAAUUAUUGCUCUCCUUGCACAAAAUGCACCAAAGAACAUAUGAAGUAUAAGAGGACCUGUAUGACAACAAGUGAUGCUGAGUGUACAUGUGAGGAUGGUUAUAGAUGCAGUGGCAACAAAUGCGAGACAUGUGUGAAAGUCCAGAAAACGACGCCCCCUACUAAAAUAC